This 266-nucleotide ribosomal RNA is filed under the name Clostridioides difficile. RNAcentral's name for it is "partial 23S ribosomal RNA". It matches the Rfam family "Bacterial large subunit ribosomal RNA", at positions 254 to 522 of the family's 2925-position model. Lineage: Bacteria; Bacillati; Bacillota; Clostridia; Peptostreptococcales; Peptostreptococcaceae. The record is from RNAcentral.
CGAACGCGGAUUAGCCCAAACCAAUAAAGUUUUCUUUAUUGGGGUUGCGGACAUAUCAUAACGAAGAGGUAUCGUAAUUGAAGAGGUUUGGAAAGAUCCACCACAGAAGGUAAUAGUCCUGUAUGUUAAACGAGAAGACUUUAGAUAUGAUCCAGAGUACCACGGGACACGUGAAACCCUGUGGGAAGCAGGAGGGACCACCCUCCAAGGCUAAAUACUACCUAGUGACCGAUAGCGUAUAGUACCGUGAGGGAAAGGUGAAAAGA